This is an RNA transcript of Biomphalaria glabrata, 1867 nucleotides long. RefSeq lists it as uncharacterized. The transcript has 8 exons. The record is from RefSeq and is a predicted model, not a curated record. NCBI's taxonomy places the organism in Eukaryota, Metazoa, Mollusca, Gastropoda, Planorbidae.
GAUCGAUACGUCACGUGUGUUAUAUCCGGCUUGAGUGUGUAGGCCUACAUUCAAUUUAAGGAUUUACGAACGUCUUCCACAUUUAGUAUGGACCAAAGUGUUGUUAUAAAUUGUAUAAUUCAUGACAGAUGUUGAGGUUCGAACACUGCUACAAAGAGGUGCACACUAUAUAUGUAUGGCAUGGCAACAUAUCAUAGGAAAGACUGAUGUUCACUAGGAUGAUAGGAUAAGGACUUACAAUACCCUCGCAUUCUUUUGAUUAAAGUUAUUGCUUAUUUCAACCCUGCAAUACAAGGCAGGAUUUGUAUGGACACAUGAAAGUUCUGUAGAGUAAGGAUUGGAAUGUGAAAACCUAAAGAGAAACAAACGGAUCAACAGACAAACAGGAAGGCGACGGGAAAGUCAGAAAAGUCGAAGACAAAUUAAAAGAGGCUAUCAGAGACAAUAACUUUAGGAGGGACCAGCUUGUAAGGCCUAUCUGAAUCUCCUUGGACGUUAUUGACCAUCAUCAAAUGGCCAAUGAAAUUUGUUUGUUGAAUAAUCAGGACGGAACAACGAGUGAUAGAUCUACUAAUACUGAUUCUCUUUUGAAACAGCUCAUUGAAACCAAAAUGAAGUUGGCAAAACUUGAAGAAGAGAAGUACAUAAUGCUAAAAAAAUUUGAAAUAUCAGAAAAAUUAAAAACAGUUAAUAAAGAUAAGAGAAAAGAAUUGGAUGUGCUGGAAAUAGAAACUGAAACGAAGAAAUUGGUUCAAACAAUUGUAAACAAAGUUGAAUACUUGAGAAAUCUAGACCAGCCUCCAGAGUCCUGGCAGAGAGAGCUUUCAGCACAAAUUAUGCAGCAGUUUGACAAAUUUAGCCUAAGAAGACAAGAACAGGAUGAUUUUUUUCUUCAACAAAGCCAGGAAACAAUAAAAAUCCUAAGAGCUAAAUUGAAUGAAUUUGAAAAAACAAUUUCAAGUUUAGAUCACAUUGUUAAAGAACAAAAUACAAAAUUAAAAAGUUGUGCAGAGAUGAAAAAAUUAUGUGAAAAAGAAAAGGAUCUUUUAAAGAAAUCAAAUAUGAUAUUAGCCAAAGAAAAAGCUUUUUAUAUGGAAAAUGAAAGGAGAAAAGUUGAAGACAAGUUAAAAAUUGCUGAUCAGUUAAAGAAUAUUACAAUGAUUAAAGAAAGACAGAGUAAUGAAGAGGCAGAAAAAUUACGAAUGAAGCUGUUAGAUUUAACAAAGAAAUUUAUUGAUGCCAAAAGAAAGUUAGCAAACAUAGAAGAAGAAAGACAGAGAAAUGAGACCAGAAUAAAUAUUGAGAAACAGUUAAGAAUCAUAAAAUCUGGCAACCGAUGAAAUUCUGAACAGGUAGAGGACCCAUGAUAAACAUUAUACAGAGAAAUAUAAUUUCAUUCAAUAAGGUAAAAAUGUUUACCAUUCCCUGUUCACUCAUUGGAAGCCAUAGCCAAAGUCACCUCAGUUCUUUCCAGGCUUCAAGAGGACAAGAAUGCACUUGCUCAAAGUAAAGACUGCAUCUAAUCCAUAAGACGAAAUGAAUGUCUUAUUGUUCAUGGCCUCAUGGGUAGCUUUGAUCUCUGUGUGGAUUUUAAGUUUAUAUCUUCUUUACAGUAUAUUUUACUAAGAUGUACAUUGAUGCACACAUGAAUAUUUAUACUCCCAAACUUGAAUUGGUCUACUAGUAUCUAAAAUAUCUAAUACAAGAUUUGCUGCAUUUUUAUAUAUAUAUAUAUAUUUUAUACAAAACUAUUUAUUAAAAAAAAUUAAUUUCAAAAAAAUAUUUUACAAAAAACAACACUGCUUUAGGUUUUUUGUUUUUUUUCUUGAAAAACUGGCAAUGACAGCAAAUAAAAUUAGUUUGAAUA